UGGCAGACGGGUGAGUAACAUGUGGGUAUCUACCCUUUGGCCUGGAAUAACACGAGGAAACUUGUGCUAAUACCGGAUAAGUCUUUACGGAGAAAGCUUUAUGCACCAUUGGAUGAGCCCGCACUUGAUUAGUUUGUUGGUAGGGUAAUGGCCUACCAAGACUAUGAUCAAUAGCUGAUUUGAGAGGAUGAUCAGCCACAUUGGGACUGAGACACGGCCCAAACUCCUACGGGAGGCAGCAGUGGGGAAUCUUGCACAAUGGAGGAAACUCUGAUGCAGCGAUGCCGCGUGAGUGAAGAAGGCCUUUGGGUUGUAAAGCUCUUUCGUCGGGGAAGAAAAUGACUGUACCCGAAUAAGAAGGUCCGGCUAACUUCGUGCCAGCAGCCGCGGUAAUACGAAGGGACCUAGCGUAGUUCGGAAUUACUGGGCUUAAAGAGUUCGUAGGUGGUUGAAAAAGUUGGUGGUGAAAUCCCA
Molecule: ribosomal RNA, 474 nt
Filed under: uncultured Pelagibacterales bacterium
Lineage: Bacteria; Pseudomonadati; Pseudomonadota; Alphaproteobacteria; Candidatus Pelagibacterales
Description: bacterial SSU rRNA
Rfam family: Bacterial small subunit ribosomal RNA
Source: RNAcentral